RNAcentral lists this ribosomal RNA (440 nucleotides) under uncultured bacterium. RNAcentral describes it as "partial 16S ribosomal RNA". It matches the Rfam family "Bacterial small subunit ribosomal RNA", at positions 338 to 795 of the family's 1533-position model. The record is from RNAcentral.
CCUACGGGUGGCAGCAGUGGGGAAUAUUGCACAAUGGUGGAGACCCUGAUGCAGCAACGCCGCGUGAGUGAUGACGGCCUUCGGGUUGUAAAGCUCUUUCUUCCGGGACGAUAAUGCCGGUACCUGAGGAGGAAGCCGCGGCUAACUACGUACCAUCAGCCGCGGUAAUGCGUAGGUGGCGGGCGUUGUCCGGAUUUACUGGGCGUAAAGGGAGCGUAGGCGGACUUUUAAGUGAGAUGUGAAAUACUCGGGCUCAACUUGAGUGCUGCAUUUCAAACUGGAAGUCUAGAGUGCAGGAGAGGAGAAUGGAAUGCCUAGUGUAGCGGUGAAAUGCGUAGAGAUGAGGAAGAACACCAGUGGCGAAGGCGAUUCUCUGGACUGUAACUGACGCUGAGGCUCGAAAGCGUGGGGAGCAAACAGGAUUAGAUACCCCUGUAGUC